AGGACGAACGCUGGCGGCGCGCUUAACACAUGCAAGUCGAGCGAGAACCAGGGCUUCGGCUCUGGGGACAGCGGCGAACGGGUGAGUAACACGUGAGUAAUCUGCCCUCGACACUGGGAUAGCCCGGGGAAACCCGGAUUAAUACCGGAUAGCCUUUCGAGCUCUCGGGCUCGUCAGAAAAGGAUGGCUUCGGCUUUCGGUUGAGGAUGAGCUUGCGGCGGAUUAGCUUGUUGGUGAGGUAACGGCUCACCAAGGCGACAAUCCGUAGCUGGUCUGAGAGGACGAUCAGCCACACUGGGACUGAGACACGGCCCAGACCUCGUACGGG
This 328-nucleotide ribosomal RNA is filed under the name uncultured soil bacterium. RNAcentral's name for it is "bacterial SSU rRNA". It matches the Rfam family "Bacterial small subunit ribosomal RNA", at positions 26 to 345 of the family's 1533-position model. The record is from RNAcentral.